AGUGAACGCUGGCGGUAGGCCUAACACAUGCAAGUCGAACGGCAGCACAGGAGAGCUUGCUCUCUGGGUGGCGAGUGGCGGACGGGUGAGGAAUACAUCGGAAUCUACUCUGUCGUGGGGGAUAACGUAGGGAAACUUACGCUAAUACCGCAUACGACCUACGGGUGAAAGCAGGGGAUCUUCGGACCUUGCGCGAAUGAAUGAGCCGAUGUCGGAUUAGAUAGUUGGCGGGGUAAAGGCCCACCAAGGCGACGAUCCGUAGCAGGUCUGAGAGGAUGAUCAGCCACACUGGAACUGAGACACGGUCCAGACUCCUACGGGAGGCAGCAGUGGGGAAUAUUGGACAAUGGGCGCAAGCCUGAUCCAGCCAUACCGCGUGGGUGAAGAAGGCCUUCGGGUUGUAAAACCCUUUUGUUGGGAAAGAAAUCCAGCUGGCUAAUACCCGGUUGGGAUGACGGUACCCAAAGAAUAAGCACCGGCUAACUUCGUGCCAGCCGCCGCCGUAA
RNAcentral lists this ribosomal RNA (506 nucleotides) under uncultured bacterium. RNAcentral's name for it is "partial 16S ribosomal RNA". It matches the Rfam family "Bacterial small subunit ribosomal RNA", at positions 29 to 523 of the family's 1533-position model. The record is from RNAcentral.